GCGGGGCACAGUGGUGCAUGUCUGUAAUCCCAACAGCUCAGGAGGCUGAGGCAGGAGGAUUGUGAGCUGAAAGCCGGCCUCAGCAAUUUAGCAAGGCCCUAAGCAAUUCAGUAAGAUCCUGUCUCUA
This 127-nucleotide small RNA is filed under the name Marmota monax (woodchuck). The record is from RNAcentral. Lineage: Eukaryota; Metazoa; Chordata; Mammalia; Rodentia; Sciuridae.